RNAcentral lists this long non-coding RNA (648 nucleotides) under Equus asinus (donkey). RNAcentral describes it as "lncRNA (ENSEASG00005036551.1)". Lineage: Eukaryota; Metazoa; Chordata; Mammalia; Perissodactyla; Equidae. The record is from RNAcentral.
CCGAGUCUCAGACACCCCGCCCUGCAUCUCAGGCUGCAGCCAGGAGAGGUUCAGGCACCUCCCACAGUCGAGGCCUCUGAGGCCCCCAGGUGUGUCUUCUCUGACCAGUUGUGUCCCAAAUUCCCCAGGAGUAUCUAUUCUGACUUGGAACAUCUUACUAGUUCACCAGGUGUGACAACCCUGACCUGGCAGACUUCUUUGUCUCCGAGAUACGUCUACCAUGAAUUUGAAUGCCUCUAUAAUUCUCCACGUGUCCACACUGACAUGGGAUGUCUCCCUAAUUACCCAGGUUUGUCUACAGUGACCUGGGAGGUCUUAAUAUUUCCCCAAAUGUGUCUACAGGGAUGUUGGAUGUCUACCACUUCUCCAGGUGUCUCCACUAUAAACUAGGAUAUCAUCCUAAUUCAAGAGGUGUGUCUGCCUGACCUGGAAUGACUCUAUUGUUAUGUAGGUGUGUGUGCUUUGACUCAGAAUGUCUCCGUAAUUACAGAGAAUUUUCUCCUCUCCCCGGGAUAUCCCAAUGUUCACCAGGGCUGUCUACUUCUUCGUAGUAUGUCACCCUAAUAACCCAAGUGUGUCCACAUUGACCUGUGAUGUCUCUCUAAUUGCCCAGGUUAGUCUGCUCUGUUUUCCAAUAUCUCCCUAAUU